GACGAACGCUGGCGGCGUGCSUAACACAUGCAAGUCGAACGGAGAAUUUCAAUAAGUUUACUUAGCGAWAUUUUUAGUGGCGGACGGGUGAGUAACGCGUGGGUAACCUACCCAUAAAUCCGGGACAACCCUUGGAAACGAGGGCUAAUACCGGAUAAUCUUAGAGCUUGGCAUCAAGCUUUAAGGAAAGGUGGCCUCUGAAGAUGCUAUCGAUUAUGGAUGGACCCGCGUCUGAUUAGCUAGUUGGUGGGGUAAAGGCYUACCAAGGCGACGAUCAGUAGCCGGCCUGAGAGGGUGAACGGCCACACUGGGACUGAGACACGGCCCAGACUCCUACGGGAGGCAGCAGUGGGGAAUCUUCCGCAAUGGACGAAAGUCUGACGGAGCAACGCCGCGUGUAUGAUGAAGGUCUUCGGAUUGUAAAGUACUGUCUUUGGGGAAGAAUGACUGAUUUGAAAAUAUUGAGUCAGUAUGACGGUACCCAAGGAGGAAGCCCCGGCUAACUACGUGCCAGCAGCCGCGGUAAUACGUAGGGGGCAAGCGUUGUCCGGAAUUAUUGGGCGUAAAGGGCGCGUAGGCGGAUCGUUAAGUCCGGUGUGAAAGAUCAUGGGCUCAACCCUGAGAGUGCAUCGGAAACCUGGGGAUCUUGA
Molecule: ribosomal RNA, 650 nt
Filed under: uncultured Desulfosporosinus sp.
Lineage: Bacteria; Bacillati; Bacillota; Clostridia; Eubacteriales; Desulfitobacteriaceae
Description: bacterial SSU rRNA
Rfam family: Bacterial small subunit ribosomal RNA
Source: RNAcentral